This 310-nucleotide ribosomal RNA is filed under the name uncultured bacterium. RNAcentral describes it as "partial 16S ribosomal RNA". It matches the Rfam family "Bacterial small subunit ribosomal RNA", at positions 503 to 807 of the family's 1533-position model. The record is from RNAcentral.
AAGAGACAGCAGCCGCCGCGGUAAUACGAAGGGUGCAAGCGUUACUCGGAAUUACUGGGCGUAAAGCGUGCGUAGGUGGUGGUUUAAGUCCGUUGUGAAAGCCCUGGGCUCAACCUGGGAAUUGCAGUGGAUACUGGGUCACUAGAGUGUGGUAGAGGAUAGUGGAAUUUCCGGUGUAGCAGUGAAAUGCGUAGAGAUCGGAAGGAACAUCUGUGGCGAAGGCGACUAUCUGGGCCAACACUGACACUGAGGCACGAAAGCGUGGGGAGCAAACAGGAUUAGAUACCCGCGUAGUCCCUGUCUCUUAUAC